Molecule: ribosomal RNA, 572 nt
Filed under: bacterium tet-w-6
Lineage: Bacteria
Description: bacterial SSU rRNA
Rfam family: Bacterial small subunit ribosomal RNA
Source: RNAcentral
CUACACAUGCAGUCGAACGGUGANCAGGAGGAGCUUGCUUCUUUGCUGACGAGUGGCGGACGGGUGAGUAAUGUCUGGGAAACUGCCUGAUGGAGGGGGAUAACUACUGGAAACGGUAGCUAAUACCGCAUAACGUCGCAAGACCAAAGAGGGGGACCUUCGGGCCUCUUGCCAUCGGAUGUGCCCAGAUGGGAUUAGCUAGUAGGUGGGGUAACGGCUCACCUAGGCGACGAUCCCUAGCUGGUCUGAGAGGAUGACCAGCCACACUGGAACUGAGACACGGUCCAGACUCCUACGGGAGGCAGCAGUGGGGAAUAUUGCACAAUGGGCGCAAGCCUGAUGCAGCCAUGCCGCGUGUAUGAAGAAGGCCUUCGGGUUGUAAAGUACUUUCAGCGGGGAGGAAGGGAGUAAAGUUAAUACCUUUGCUCAUUGACGUUACCCGCAGAAGAAGCACCGGCUAACUCCGUGCCAGCAGCCGCGGUAAUACGGAGGGUGCAAGCGUUAAUCGGAAUUACUGGGCGUAAAGCGCACGCAGGCGGUUUGUUAAGUCAGAUGUGAAAUCCCCGGGCUCA